CCAAUAGCGUAUAUUAAAGUUGUUGCAGUUAAAAAGCUCGUAGUUGAAUUUCGGGGUUAGUAGGUUGGUCAUGCCACUGGUAUGUACUGGCCUCACUGAUUCCUCCUUCCUGAUGAGCCGUAAUGCCAUUAAUUUGGUGUUGCGAGGAAUCUGGACUGUUACUUUGAAAAAAUUAGAGUGUUUAAAGCAGGCUAACGCUUGAAUACAUUAGCAUGGAAUAAUGAAAUAGGACGUUCGAUCUUAUGUUGUUGGUUUCUAAGAUUGACGUAAUGAUGAAUAGUGUUAGUUGGGGGCAUUAGUAUUCAAUUGUCAGAGGUGAAAUUCUUGGAUUUAUUGAAGACUAACUACUGCGAAAGCAUUUGCCAAGGAUGUUUUCAUUAAUCAAGAACGAAAGUUAGGGGAUCGGAGACGAUCAGAUACCGUCGUAGUCUUAACCAUAAACUAUGCCGACUAGGGAUCGGAUGAUGUUAAUUUUUUAAUGACUCAUUCGGCGCCUUACG
Molecule: ribosomal RNA, 500 nt
Filed under: uncultured Glomeromycotina
Lineage: Eukaryota; Fungi; Glomeromycota
Description: partial small subunit ribosomal RNA
Rfam family: Eukaryotic small subunit ribosomal RNA
Source: RNAcentral